Molecule: small RNA, 114 nt
Filed under: Mytilus galloprovincialis (Mediterranean mussel)
Lineage: Eukaryota; Metazoa; Mollusca; Bivalvia; Mytilida; Mytilidae
Rfam family: Potassium channel RNA editing signal
About the family: This family represents a group of sequences related to the human potassium channel Kv1.1 hairpin element which directs the efficient modification of an adenosine to inosine by an adenosine deaminase acting on RNA (ADAR).
Source: RNAcentral
GUCGGUUACGGAGAUAUUUAUCCGACGACAGUUCCUGGAAAGAUUGUUGGAAGUGUUUGUUGUAUAUGUGGAGUAUUAGUUAUUGCUCUACCUAUUCCAAUUAUAGUAAACAAC